Molecule: ribosomal RNA, 637 nt
Filed under: uncultured bacterium
Lineage: Bacteria
Description: bacterial SSU rRNA
Rfam family: Bacterial small subunit ribosomal RNA
Source: RNAcentral
GCUCAACCCCGAGCGGCCAUUGGAAACUGGGGAGCUUGAGUGCAGAAGAGGAGAGUGGAAUUCCACGUGUAGCGGUGAAAUGCGUAGAGAUGUGGAGGAACACCAGUGGCGAAGGCGACUCUCUGGUCUGUAACUGACGCUGAGGCGCGAAAGCGUGGUGAGCGAACAGGAUUAGAUACCCUGGUAGUCCACGCCGUAAACGAUGAGUGCUAGGUGUUAGGGGUUUCGAUGCCCGUAGUGCCGAAGUUAACACAUUAAGCACUCCGCCUGGGGAGUACGGCCGCAAGGCUGAAACUCAAAGGAAUUGACGGGGACCCGCACAAGCAGUGGAGCAUGUGGUUUAAUUCGAAGCAACGCGAAGAACCUUACCAGGUCUUGACAUCCUUUGGCCACCCAAGAGAUUGGGCUUCCCCUUCGGGGGCAAAGUGACAGGUGGUGCAUGGUUGUCGUCAGCUCGUGUCGUGAGAUGUUGGGUUAAGUCCCGCAACGAGCGCAACCCUUGAUCUUAGUUGCCAGCAUUAAGUUGGGCACUCUAAGGUGACUGCCGGUGACAAACCGGAGGAAGGUGGGGAUGACGUCAAAUCAUCAUGCCCCUUAUGACCUGGGCUACACACGUGCUACAAUGGAUGGUACAAAG